Molecule: ribosomal RNA, 1024 nt
Filed under: uncultured bacterium
Lineage: Bacteria
Description: bacterial SSU rRNA
Rfam family: Bacterial small subunit ribosomal RNA
Source: RNAcentral
AUUGAACGCUGGCGGCAUAGCUAAAACAUGCAAGUUGAGCGAAGCAGUAGCAAUACUGACUGAGCGGCGUAAGGGUGAGGAAUACAUUUCUAUGUACCCCAAGGUCGAGGAUAGCCAAGAGAAAUCUUGGGUAAUACUCGAUGUGGUCGUAAGAUCAAAGGUUUACCGCCUUGGGAGCGGGGAAUGUCCUAUCAGGUAGUUGGUGGGGUUACGGCUCACCAAGCCAAAGACGGGUAGCAGGUGUGAGAGCACGGCCUGCCACAUCGAAACUGAGACACUGUUCGGACUCCUACGGGAGGCUGCAGUAACGAAUCUUCCGCAAUGCGCGAAAGCGUGACGGGGUAAUGCCGCGUGCAGGAUGAAGCCCUUCGGGGUGUAAACUGCUGUCGGGCUAGGAAUUUCAUGACCAGCCCCAAAGGGAGAGCCGGCUAACUCUGUGCCAGCAGCCGCGGUAAUACAGAGGGCUCGAGCGUUAAUCGGAAUCACUGGGCUUAAAGCGUGCGUAGGCGGAUCUUCAGGCCCGUUGUGAAAUCCCACGGCUCAACCGUGGAAUUGCGAUGGGAACCGGAGAUCUUGAGUCAGGUAGAGGCGGGUGGAACGAUAGGUGGAGCGGUGAAAUGCGUAGAUAUCUAUCGGAACGCCAAAGGAGAAGUCAGCCCGCUGGGCCUGUUCUGACGCUGAGGCACGAAAGCGUGGGUAGCAAACGGGAUUAGAUACCCCGGUAGUCCACGCCGUAAACGAUGCGCACUAGACUGAGGGAGCUUGACGCUUUCUCAGUCGUAGCAAAAGUGCUAAGUGCGCCGCCUGGGGAGUACGGUCGCAAGAUUAAAACUCAAAGGAAUUGACGGGGGCUCACACAAGCGGUGGAGCAUGUGGCUUAAUUCGAAGCAACGCGAAGAACCUUAUCCUAGGCUUGACAUGUACGUAUUAACUCCCCGAAAAGGGAGCAACUCCCGCAAGGGCGGAACGUACACAGGUGCUGCAUGGCUGUCGUCAGCUCGUGCUGUGAAGUGUCGGGUUAAGU